AUCGAACGCUGGCGGCAGGCCUAACACAUGCAAGUCGAGCGAGCGGCGGACGGGCGAGCAAUGGAUGGGGACUGCCCGAUAGAGGGGGAUGACUACUGGAAAAGGUGGCAAAUGCCGCAUAAUAACGGAUAACCCAUAUGGGAUUAGCUAGCAGGUGGGGUAAAGGCUCACCUAGGCGACGAUCCCUAGCUGGUCUGCGAGGAUGAUCGGCCACACUGGGACUUAGAACCGGCCCAGACUCCUACGGAGGCAGCAGUGGGGAAUCUUGCACAAUGGGCGCAAGCCUGAUGCAGCCAUGCCGCGUGUAUGAAGAAGGCCUUGGGGUUGUAAAGUACUUUCAGCGGGGAGGCGUUACCCGCAGAAGAAGCACCGGCUAACUCCGUGCCAGCAGCCGCGGUAAUUC
RNAcentral lists this ribosomal RNA (403 nucleotides) under uncultured bacterium. RNAcentral's name for it is "partial 16S ribosomal RNA". It matches the Rfam family "Bacterial small subunit ribosomal RNA", at positions 29 to 526 of the family's 1533-position model. The record is from RNAcentral.